GACCUGGCGCGGCUACCGUCUGCGUGACGUCAUCAGGAAAAAGCGGGGAUGGCUGCGACCGCAGCGCCCCCUGGCGGCGAGAGGCGGGAAAACCUCUGGAGGACCUCCCAGAGAUCCCUCCCAGCCCCUGUGCUGCUGUGACAGACGGGUGUGUGAAGGGGCACAGCGGGCAGGUGGACGUUUGGUGGCUUUCCAGGCUCAAAGCACCGCAGCCCUGGGAUGCCACCGGGACUUUGACGGUCAUCAGCCACGUCCCUCCCUUCGUCUCCAUUCACUGCAAUGGGAGCUGGGUUGGGUGCACCCGCAGGGAUGGGGCACACACGGCCUCUGGGCAGCAGUGCAGGGCCUCAGCUCCCUCUGUGAACACCUUCCCCCACAUCUAAUCCAAAUCUCCAUUCCUUUACAUUAAAACCAUUCCCCUUUGUCCCAUCUCCCCACAAGAAAAGUUCAUUUUCCUCCUGUUUAUCAUCUCCCUUGAAACAGUGGGAGGCUAUCACCACGAUGGCAGGCACAGCAAGUUGAUGACAUGGCAGGCACAGAGCAGUGCCUGUGACACCACGGGACAGCGUCAUAGAGGGGCACUGUGAGCUCAGGGCAGAGGGGCUGACCCCAGCGCUCACGGAACCCCCCACUGCCACUCUCGAGCUGCCACGGCAGGUAAGGCAGCAGGCUCCUCCUGCUCCUGGCACUGCGGCCCUCCAGGGGGUCCCAGUGCCCCACAUCUCACCCCGGCGCCCAUUUGGGCAUUUCCCCACAGAGAGAAUUCCUUCAUCGCUGACGGUGCUUCCGACACCCGACGCAACUUUAUUUGGAGCCUUUGUGCCCCCACCGGCCACUGCUGCGAUGCAGACCACCAUUGGCGGAGCAGUGCCCGUAUCCUUCCAGCCCAUCCCUGCCCCCAAUGUCACCUCCAUGGUGCCUCAGGCCUCUGUCCAGCCGGGGGUACCGGGUGUGCAGGGACAGGGAGCGCAGCUGCCACCUGGGGCGAUGCCUCAAACUGUGCUUC
This 1006-nucleotide long non-coding RNA is filed under the name Gallus gallus (chicken). Its description in RNAcentral is "lncRNA (ENSGALG00010020899.1)". Lineage: Eukaryota; Metazoa; Chordata; Aves; Galliformes; Phasianidae. The record is from RNAcentral.